AAGUCGUAACAAGGUCUCCGUUGGUGAACCAGCGGAGGGAUCAUUAAAGAGUUGAAAAACUCCCAAAACCACUGUGGACCUUACCAUUAUCGUUGCUUCGGCGGUGAACGGGUUUAGGUUGCCCUCCUCCUCCUCUUUCGAGAUGGGGGGGCGCCAACCGACCAGCGAGCCGCCGAAGGUCACCUAAACUUUGUAUUUAUGUAGUGCAUCUCUGAGCAUAAAAGAAAACAAGUCAAAACUUUCAACAACGGAUCUCUUGGUUCUG
This 265-nucleotide unclassified non-coding RNA is filed under the name fungal sp. Its description in RNAcentral is "partial internal transcribed spacer region". The stretch from base 1 to 46 matches the Rfam family "Eukaryotic small subunit ribosomal RNA", at positions 1786 to 1831 of the family's 1831-position model. Lineage: Eukaryota; Fungi. The record is from RNAcentral.